This 606-nucleotide ribosomal RNA is filed under the name Tranzschelia fusca. RNAcentral describes it as "eukaryotic LSU rRNA". It matches the Rfam family "Eukaryotic large subunit ribosomal RNA", at positions 1 to 612 of the family's 3401-position model. Lineage: Eukaryota; Fungi; Basidiomycota; Pucciniomycetes; Pucciniales; Raveneliaceae. The record is from RNAcentral.
UAAGACCUCAAAUCAGGUGGGACUACCUGCUGAACUUAAGCAUAUCAAUAAGCAGAGGAAAAGAAACUAACCAGGAUUCCCCUAGUAAUGGCGAGUGAAGAGGGAAAAGCCCAAAUUUGUAAUCUGGCUCUUUUUAGAGGAGUCUGAGUUGUAACUUUGAGAACUGUUUUCAGUGCUGGACCAUGUACAAGUCUGUUGAAAAACAGCAUCAUUGAGGGUGAUAAUCCCGUUCAUGAUAUGGACUACCAAGUGCAAUAUGAUACAGUCUCUAAGAGUCGAGUUGUUUGGGAAUGCAGCUCAAAAAGGGUGGUAAAUUCCAUCUAAGGCUAAAUAUUGAUGAGAGACCGAUAGCAAACAAGUACCGUGAGGGAAAGAUGAAAAGAACUUUGGAAAGAGAGUUAACAGUACGUGAAAUUGUUAAAAGGGAAACAAUUGAAGUUAGUCUUGUUAUUAUUGGUUCAGCUUUAAAUAGUGUAUUCCAAUUUUUAACAGAUCAACAUCAAUUCUUGGGUGUUGGAUAAGGGUCUUGUGAAAUGUAGCAGCUUUUUUGCUGUGUUAUAGUCUGAAACUUUGAUACAGUGCCUAGGAUUGAGGAAUGCAGUGAGC